UCCUGUAGAAUAGGAUGGAAUAUUUUGAGAAUAUCUGUGAUGCCAACAGAUUUCUUUUGAAGAGCUGGAUUGAGCUGUCAGCCAAAAUACUCUUUUAGGACCACUUGAGUACCUGGGUGAUAAUCUCUCAGUAAAUCAUGAGGAAUAUUUGAGCAUCAAGAGAUAUGCUCUCCAGAUGAUGUUUUCAGGAAACAGUGCAUCUGCUAUGAAACAGAAUGUUUGGAAAUUAGAAAAGACUCAGCAGAGGGAGAAGGUGAAUUUGUACAGGUACUGAUUGCUCUGAGACCCUUUUAAUACACUACAGGUCUUUUAUCACAUUUUGGUUUUACAAAAAGGAGGAAAGAAAAUG
This 349-nucleotide long non-coding RNA is filed under the name Anas platyrhynchos platyrhynchos (common mallard). Its description in RNAcentral is "lncRNA (ENSAPLG00000028460.1)". The record is from RNAcentral. Lineage: Eukaryota; Metazoa; Chordata; Aves; Anseriformes; Anatidae.